Heterocephalus glaber (naked mole-rat) is the source of this 2857-nucleotide long non-coding RNA. NCBI's taxonomy places the organism in Eukaryota, Metazoa, Chordata, Mammalia, Rodentia, Bathyergidae. The record is from Ensembl.
CCACCGGCCCUCAGUGACUCACUGUAGCCUCUCACUCCCGUCCUGUUUCCUGCCCCCUGUCAGGAGCCCCGGGCACCCACGGUCACCCAGGCUUGUUCCCACACGUGUCAAAUGAGACCCUGACGCUUGUGAGUUUGUUCUUAGCUUUGUCAUCAUGAUGUAUAACACAUUCAGAAAGGCACACGAGACACCAAAGUCAAGCCCAAAAGAUCACCACAGAGACAAUAGCCUUGUAGAUUCCAAGUCAGGUAGGGUGGUGCAUGUCUAUCAUCCCAGCACUCUGGGAGGCUGAGGCAGGAGGAUACCAAAGUCAAGGCCAGCCUGGGGAACUUAGUGAGACCCUGUCUCAAAACGAAAAAAUGAAAACUUUAAAAAGGGCUGAAGAGGUAGCUUAGCACAAAGGCCCUGGAUUCAACCUCCAGCACUGAAAAGAAAAUUCCACUCAGACCAAGAAGGAACAUAAAGACCCCCAGAAGUCCCCGUGCCCUUCAGCCACCUCUUUCUCCCCAGUGAAGGCAUCGCUUAUGACACACAUAAGCGUGCAGCAUCUCUUUUCCCUUUUCGCUGCCAUGUACUGUUCCUUCGUAGGAGGCUGCCAGGGUUUAUCUAUCCACUUCCCAAGUAUGGGAUGUAGAAUCAUUUUUGCACCUGAUGAGACUCAGCAGAAGUCUUGCCCCUGUAUCCAGUGGAUGAGGGGAGGGGACCUGGAUGCUGUGGGCCAGAGGUCCGAGGCACAGUGACCUUCUACCUGAGAGCCACUUGGGAAAGGGUCACACACCCCAAACUCCGAGGCUACGGGGCGUGUCUGCCUCUACCAACUUCAGUCCUGUGACUCAGCAGAGGUCCCCAGGACACACGUGCCUGCUCUCCCACCCGCUGCCUCCCUCCUCCUGCCUUAGUGUCCCUGGGUUGUUGGUUUGUUUGUUGACACAGGAUCUCAUUGUGUAUCCCAGGCUGGCCUCGAACUCACUUUGAUCUUCCUGCCUCAGCCUCCCAAGUAUUGGGAUCACAGGUGUGCGCCAUGCCCCAUUCACCCGUAUUUUUUUCGAUCAUGGGAGACAGCUGACAUUUGACAUCUGCACUUCCUGGCCGAGUCGACCUGGACACUGUUGAUACUGCCUGGGCGUCAGGUUGGCCCUGGGUGACCGGGAGGGAUGUCGCCCCACCAGGCUGCGAGGGCACCCACGCUCUCACUGAGUCGCUGAGUUGUCCAGGUUGGGCUCUAUCAGUGCCAUCCGCCUGCCUCAGCCUCCCAGAGUGCUGGCAUCACAGGCAUGGGCACCAUCACACCUGGCUCUGUUCUGCCCACUUUACAGAUGAGAAACUGAGGCCCAGGAGAGCAGGGCUCUGAUACCAUAACGCAGCCCACACAGGCAACCCUGUCUUCAGCCUGACAAACUCCCCUCAUAGGGGACACCCUUGUCGUCUGCCCCCUCCCCACACCCCAGCGCCUGACUCCACGCUCCCAGCGCCCCAUCUGCAGAGCGCCCUCUGCUGGGCGUGCGCGGUCCUACGCCUCCCAGGGGCUGCGCCAUCCCGCGGGCUGCACCCACUGCGCCUGCGCCUUGCGCCCUCCAUACUUGGGAGCCGCAGUUGCCCGGGGCUCCAUCCUCCCACACUGGGACCCAGGAGUCCCUCCCUCCACCCUGCACUUGCGGACAGCCCUCCGCUAGUCCAUCUGCCCCACCCAGCUCAGACAGGCUCAUUUAUUGCGCACCUACUGUGUACCCUACACCACUCAGCCCAGGAAGCAGGGCAAACACAGACCCUGCCCUGGAGUUUGGGGUGCAGAAAAAACGAGCAAAUGCCUCGGACAGAGACCUCCGCCCGGGACCAGAUGUCCAUCCAGCCAGACCCUUACCCAGGACAGGGGCUGAUGUGUGGGAGGAAGGAGACGAGGCAGGAAGGCCAGAGGAGGCCUGAGUGGCUCAGUGCACAACUCGGGCACCCGUGCCAGUCAUAUCCCGGCCAUGAGGGAUGUCCCUGUUGAAGAGGGAGGCACAAGUCCCUCAGGUCGAGGAAGAAAUAUGAGAAGUCAUCAUAAAAACUGUGGGUGCGAAAAAUAACCAUGUUUUUAAAUUUUGAAUGUAAAAUAUUAAGGCAAAAAAACCCUCAGUAUGCUUACUAGACUUUUGUCAUCAGUUCAUUACAUUCAAAAUGUAUAGAAACAAUUUAUCUCAAUAGUGUUGAGAUGAGCAAUUCACUUCAUCAUUUUCCUACCACAGUUAAAUUUUUAAUAAAGAUUUCUUAACAGUUUAUUUUCUUAAAAGCCCCAAUAGAACACAGUGGGAUAUUUUCAUUUCUGGUAACGGUUACCAAUCAAGACUGAGAGUUCCCCAAAAGAGGCCAAGUCGCAGAAUAAAAGAGAGGGAAGAGAGCCCAAGGAGGUGGCCAUACUCCCUGGGCCAGGAUGGUGUAUGCCUGUGAUUCCAGCACUCAGGAGGAAGGCUGAGGCAGGAGGAUUGCCUCGAGUUCCAAACCAGCCUGGACUACAUAGCGAGACUUUGUCUCAAAAAAGAGCAAAAGAAGGAGCCCUGUGUCCCUGUCUGUGUCCUGUGCCCUGGCUCGGAGCUGGGCCCUGGGACUUGCAGGCAGGGGAGCUGCCUGGCUGUCACCUGAGGCCCCAGCCUACUUCUGCCACUCACAGAAUGUCAACAUCUGUGUCAGGAGGGGACAGGGCUAAUCUGCUCCCAGACCCCAUUCCCACCCGCCUGGCCAUGGCCAUGUGACCGCCCUGACCCCCACCCAGGCCUAGGGUGUUUCCGGCUGCAGCCAGUGCGGCCCCAUCCCCAGCCUGCUCACUGCUGCUUCAGAGCCAGGGCUGAACCUCCUGUCCCAGCGUGACACCUGAGCACAG